GCCAGCUGCCAUAUCACUCUGCAACUCCCAGCUGGCAGCCCACUGAAGCUCAGCAGGUGUGAGCCUGGUCAGUACCUGGAUGGGAGGCCUCCUGGGAAAGCUAAGGCUGCUUCUGGAA
Lepisosteus oculatus (spotted gar) is the source of this 118-nucleotide ribosomal RNA. The record is from Rfam. Lineage: Eukaryota; Metazoa; Chordata; Actinopteri; Semionotiformes; Lepisosteidae.